AACGAACGCUGGCGGCAGGCCUAACACAUGCAAGUCGAGCGAGGACUUCGGUCCUAGCGGCGGACGGGUGAGUAACGCGUGGGAACGUGCCCUUUGCCUCGGAAUAGCCCUGGGAAACUGGGAGUAAUACCGGAUGAGCCCUUUGGGGGAAAGAUUUAUCGGCGAAGGAUCGGCCCGCGUUGGAUUAGGUAGUUGGUGGGGUAAUGGCCUACCAAGCCGACGAUCCAUAGCUGGUUUGAGAGGAUGCUCAGCCACACUGGGACUGAGACACGGCCCAGACUCCUACGGGAGGCAGCAGUGGGGAAUCUUAGACAAUGGGGGAAACCCUGAUCUAGCCAUGCCGCGUGAGCGAUGAAGGCCUUAGGGUUGUAAAGCUCUUUCAGCUGGGAAGAUAAUGACGGUACCAGCAGAAGAAGCCCCGGCUAACUCCGUG
RNAcentral lists this ribosomal RNA (433 nucleotides) under uncultured bacterium. Its description in RNAcentral is "partial 16S ribosomal RNA". It matches the Rfam family "Bacterial small subunit ribosomal RNA", at positions 29 to 507 of the family's 1533-position model. The record is from RNAcentral.